Sardina pilchardus (European sardine) is the source of this 785-nucleotide long non-coding RNA. RefSeq lists it as uncharacterized. NCBI's taxonomy places the organism in Eukaryota, Metazoa, Chordata, Actinopteri, Clupeiformes, Clupeidae. The transcript has 2 exons. The record is from RefSeq and is a predicted model, not a curated record.
UAAUACGUUACGAGACUGGCAAGCUUGGCUACUGCUACGUUUACUGCGAAGCCACCGAAGUCGAAGACUGAGUCUAACCCACCUGAAUUUGCUGUACCUAAUGUGUGGAUCAUUGAAGACUGCUAUGUUUGCUGUGGAGAGGAGGUGGCAAGGAGGUCCCUGAGCUCUAACCUGGGACUAAAUGCAGGUGAAAUGGCUUGGCUGGGGUCGACUGAGGUGGCAUAGCAUCCUUCUCCUUUUUGCCUAGUCCCUGAAGAGUGGAUUUUGCCGCAGAGAUGAAGCAGAACCUGUGUGAUCUCCAUCCCCCCCCACAUGACCAUUAUCAUAUUUUUAUGCUUUGUGUUGGGUCUCAUGCCCCAUCCACACAACUUUGCAUUGUUUCUUAGAGACCAGGUUAAUCUGUCUGGGGCAAUUAAUAUUUUUAAAAUAUUGUUGAAUGUCUGUAUCCAGCCGAAUUCAGUAGGCAACCUGCAUUUUGAUGGCACUGAACUUGCACUUACAAAUGGUUAUGGAACUUUUCUAAGAGAUGCUGUUACUGAUACUGAUGGACUGUUACACCCUUUCCUUUACUUAUGUCAAAACCAAUGUCUGUUCAUUAACAAAAUUACUGUUGAUGGCACUGAAGUUGAAAAUAAAAACACAAAUGUUUAUGGGACUUUUCUGGUCAACUGUGACCUACAUUUAACUUGUCAAACCAGUUUUGUCUAUGCUGUCAAACAUUUACGAUUAAAUUGCAGUGGGAGCAAAAACAAUCAGUAGGUUGAAUUAAAGACCCAGAUGCGGAA